GCGCGAUCAGCCGGGGCGUGACGGCCGCGCCGGCGCUGGCGUCGCUGGCGGCGAUGUUGUUGCCGGAGCCGGUGACCGUGGCGCCGGCCGGGUGC
RNAcentral lists this transfer RNA (95 nucleotides) under Actinoplanes digitatis. RNAcentral's name for it is "tRNA-Ala". The record is from RNAcentral. Lineage: Bacteria; Bacillati; Actinomycetota; Actinomycetes; Micromonosporales; Micromonosporaceae.